AUUGAACGCUGGCGGCAGGCCUAACACAUGCAAGUCGAGCGGGGUUUUCGGACCUAGCGGCGGACGGGUGAGUAAUGCGUAGGAAGCUGCCCGAUAGAGGGGGGAUACCAGUUGGAAACGACUGUUAAUACCGCAUAAUGUCUACGGACCAAAGUGUGGGACCUUUGGGCCACAUGCUAUCGGAUGCGCCUACGUGGGAU
RNAcentral lists this ribosomal RNA (200 nucleotides) under uncultured bacterium. RNAcentral describes it as "partial 16S ribosomal RNA". It matches the Rfam family "Bacterial small subunit ribosomal RNA", at positions 30 to 241 of the family's 1533-position model. The record is from RNAcentral.